CCUACGGGGGGUUGCAGUGGGGAAUAUUGGACAAUGGGGGGAACCCUGAUCCAGCCAUGCCGCGUGUGUGAAGAAGGCCCUCGGGUUGUAAAGCACUUUCAGUGAGGAAGAACGCCUGGUGGUUAAUACCCAUCAGGAAAGACAUCACUCACAGAAGAAGCACCGGCUAACUCCGUGCCAGCAGCCGCGGUAAUACGGAGGGUGCGAGCGUUAAUCGGAAUUACUGGGCGUAAAGCGCGCGUAGGUGGCUUGAUAAGCCGGUUGUGAAAGCCCCGGGCUCAACCUGGGAACGGCAUCCGGAACUGUCAAGCUAGAGUGCAGGAGAGGAAGGUAGAAUUCCCGGUGUAGCGGUGAAAUGCGUAGAGAUCGGGAGGAAUACCAGUGGCGAAGGCGGCCUUCUGGACUGACACUGACACUGAGGUGCGAAAGCGUGGGUAGCAAACAGGAUUAGAUACCCUAGUAGUC
RNAcentral lists this ribosomal RNA (465 nucleotides) under Vreelandella stevensii. RNAcentral's name for it is "partial 16S ribosomal RNA". It matches the Rfam family "Bacterial small subunit ribosomal RNA", at positions 338 to 795 of the family's 1533-position model. Lineage: Bacteria; Pseudomonadati; Pseudomonadota; Gammaproteobacteria; Oceanospirillales; Halomonadaceae. The record is from RNAcentral.